Molecule: unclassified non-coding RNA, 391 nt
Filed under: soil metagenome
Description: partial contains 5.8S ribosomal RNA, internal transcribed spacer 2, and large subunit ribosomal RNA
Rfam family: 5.8S ribosomal RNA (bases 1-122)
Source: RNAcentral
GAUGACGAACGUAGCGAAAUGCGAUACUUGGUGUGAAUUGCAGAAUCCCGUGAACCAUCGAGUCUUUGAACGCAAGUUGCGCCCGAAGCCAUUAGGCCGAGGGCACGCCUGCCUGGGCGUCACACGUCGUUGCCCCCCCAUCUACUCCUUCGGGAUUGCGGGGGGCGGAUGAUGGCCUCCCGUGCGCCUCGUCGCGCGGUUGGCAUAAAUGCCAAGUCCUCGGCGACGCACGCCACGACAAUCGGUGGUUGCGAAACCUCGGUUGCCCGUCGUGUGCGGUCGUCGCGCAUCGAGGGCUCGAAAAAAUUGUCGGGCUCCGGCUCGGCUUUCAACGCGACCCCAGGUCAGGCGGGGUUACCCGCUGAAUUUAAGCAUAUCAAUAAGCGGAGGA